GUUGACAGAGAUGGUCACUGGUCCCACUACAAGGCUGAUGGUGCUGUGUAUAGUUCUGGUGCCGGCUUCCAGUGACGGAGCUACACCCGAACAGCUGAUCGGCAGGGGUCCGACACCCUGCACCCCCAUCAAUCAGCUAGUGAUGGCCUAUCCUGA
Molecule: long non-coding RNA, 156 nt
Organism: Bufo bufo (common toad)
Lineage: Eukaryota; Metazoa; Chordata; Amphibia; Anura; Bufonidae
Exons: 3
Source: RefSeq, a predicted model, not a curated record